RNAcentral lists this ribosomal RNA (497 nucleotides) under uncultured bacterium. Its description in RNAcentral is "partial 16S ribosomal RNA". It matches the Rfam family "Bacterial small subunit ribosomal RNA", at positions 28 to 507 of the family's 1533-position model. The record is from RNAcentral.
GAUGAACGCUGGCGGCGUGCCUAAUACAUGCAAGUCGAGCGAACAGACGCGGAUCUUGCUCCUCUGACGUUAGCGGCGGACGGGUGAGUAACACGUGGAUAACCUACCUAUAAGACUGGGAUAACUUCGGGACACCGUAGCUAAUACCGUAUAAUAUAUUGAACCGCAUGGUUCAAUAGUGAAAGACGGUUUUGCUGUCACUUAUAGAUGGAUCCGCGCCGCAUUAGCUAGUUGGGAAGGUAACGGCUUACCAAGGCAACGAUGCGUAGCCGGCCUGAGAGGGUGAUCGGCCACACUGGAACUGAGACACGGUCCAGACUCCUACGGGAGGCAGCAGUAGGGAAUCUUCCGCAAUGGGCGAAAGCCUGACGGAGCAACGCCGCGUGAGUGAUGAAGGUCUUCGGAUCGUAAACCUCUGUUAGUAGGGAAGAACAAAUGUGUAAGUAAAUAUGCACGUAUUGACGGUACCUAAUCAGAAAGCCCCGGCUAACUACGUG